AACGAACGCUGGCGGCAUGCCUAACACAUGCAAGUCGAACGAUCCCUUCGGGGAUAGUGGCGCACGGGUGCGUAACGCGUGGGAACCUGCCCUUAGGUUCGGAAUAACUCAGAGAAAUUUGAGCUAAUACCGGAUAAUGUCUUCGGACCAAAGAUUUAUCGCCUUUGGAUGGGCCCGCGUUGGAUUAGCUAGUUGGUGGGGUAAAGGCCUACCAAGGCGACGAUCCAUAGCUGGUCUGAGAGGAUGAUCAGCCACACUGGGACUGUGACACGGCCCAGACUCCUACGGGAGGCAGCAGUGGGGAAUAUUGGACAAUGGGCGAAAGCCUGAUCCAGCAAUGCCGCGUGAGUGAUGAAGGCCUUAGGGUUGUAAAGCUCUUUUACCCGGGAUGAUAAUGACAGUACCGGGAGAAUAAGCCCCGGCUAACUCCGUG
This 433-nucleotide ribosomal RNA is filed under the name uncultured bacterium. Its description in RNAcentral is "partial 16S ribosomal RNA". It matches the Rfam family "Bacterial small subunit ribosomal RNA", at positions 29 to 507 of the family's 1533-position model. The record is from RNAcentral.